This 1914-nucleotide ribosomal RNA is filed under the name human metagenome. Its description in RNAcentral is "bacterial LSU rRNA". It matches the Rfam family "Bacterial large subunit ribosomal RNA", at positions 3 to 2004 of the family's 2925-position model. The record is from RNAcentral.
UCAAGCUACAAAGAGCACAAGGGGAAUGCCUUGGCACCGAGAGCCGAAGAAGGACGUGACUAACUGCGAUAAGCUGCGGGGAGCCGUAAGUAGGCUUUGAUCCGCAGAUUUCCGAAUGGAGCAAUCCGGCAAGAGGAAAGUCUUGUCAUCAUAUACUGAAUACAUAGGUAUAUGAGGGGAACCGCCUGAACUGAAACAUCUAAGUAGGGCGAGGAAGAGAAAUCAACUGAGAUUCCGUAAGUAGUGGCGAGCGAACGCGGAAGAGGCCAAACCGAGAGUAGUAAUACUUUCGGGGUUCGGACAGAAUACGGCAUUGUAAAGGUUUAGUGGAAUGGAAUGGGAAGUCCAACCGAAGAAGGUGAGAGUCCUGUACACGAAAAGCCUGAACAGCCAUCUGUAUCCAGAGUACCGCCGGACACGUGAAACCCGGUGGGAAUAUGGGGGGACCACCCUCCAAGCCUAAAUACUACCCAGUGACCGAUAGUGUAUAGUACUGUGAAGGAAAGGUGAAAAGCACCCCGGGAGGGGAGUGAAAAAGAACCUGAAACCCUGUGCCUACAAGCACCUAGAGCACGUCAAAGUGUGAUAGGGUACUUUUUGUAGAACGGUCCGGCGAGCGAUUGUAUGCAGCAAGGUUAAGGACUUAAGGUCUGGAGCCGAAGCGAAAGCGAGUUUGAAAAGGGCGUUAAGUUGCAUAUAAUGGGCCCGAAACCGGGUGACCUACCCAUGGUCAGGUUGAAGUGGAAGUAAAAUUCCAUGGAGGACCGAACCGACCUCCGUUGAAAAGGCGGCGGAUGAACUGUGGGUAGCGGAGAAAUUCCAAUCGAACCCGGAGAUAGCUGGUUCUCUCCGAAAUAGUUUUAGGACUAGCCUCGUAUUAGAUUACCGGAGGUAAAGCACUGAAUGAGCUAGGGGCCGAGAGGUUACUGAACUCUAUCAAACUCAGAAUGCCGGAUAAUUGAUGUACGGGAGUCAGACAGUGUGAGAUAAGUUUCAUUGUCAAAAGGGAAACAGCCCAGACCCACAGCUAAGGUCCCCAAGUAUAGUUAAGUGGAAAAGGAUGUGGAAUUGCACAGACAACCAGGAUGUUGGCUUAGAAGCAGCCACUCAUUAAAAGAGUGCGUAAUAGCUCACUGGUCGAGUGACUCUGCGCGGAAAAUAUAACGGGGCUAAGCGUAACACCGAAGCUUGGGCUGCACAGCAAUGUGCGGGGUAGGGGAGCGUCGAAUAUGGGGUGAAGUCGCAGCGGAAGCAGCGGUGGACUGUAUUCGAGUGAGAAUGCCGGAAUGAGUAGCGAGAAUUAUGUGGGAAUCAUAAUGGCCGAAAAUCUAAGGUUUCCUGGGGAAGGUUCGUCCGCCCAGGGUAAGCCGGGAGCUAAGGCGAGGCCGAAAGGCGUAGUCGAUGCACAUACGGUUGAAAUUCCGUAGCCACCGAAACUUAAACCAGAAGGACACUUGGAGCUAUCCGAACCCGGGCGUUGGUUGACCCGGGCGUAAGGGACCGAAAUUAAGUAGGGAAGUCGGAGAAUGACGAGGCGAGAAAAGUUCUGGUGUAUGCUAAGGUGCCCGUACCGCAAACCGACACAGGUAGAUGAGGAGAGAAUCCUAAGGCCAACGGGAGAAGGGUUGUUAAGGAACUCGGCAAGUUGACCCCGUAACUUCGGAAUAAGGGGAGCCUCGAAAGAGGCCGCAGUGAAAAGGCCCAAGCAACUGUUUACCAAAAACACAGGUCUAUGCUAAAUCGAAAGAUGACGUAUAUGGGCUGACGCCUGCCCGGUGCCGGAAGGUUAAGAGGAGAUGUCAGCGCAAGCGAAGCAUUGAAUUGAAGCCCCGGUAAACGGCGGCCGUAACUAUAACGGUCCUAAGGUAGCGAAAUUCCUUGUCGGGUAAGUUCCGACCCGCACGAAAGGCGUAA